AUCUUUUUGUAGCUUCUAAGUGUGAUCGGGUUUUCACAUGCAUAGGUAAGAUGCGCCUCCCCCAAACCUUGUGAUGAUGUCAGCACAGUAUCCCUCUGAUG
Non-coding RNA from Callithrix jacchus (white-tufted-ear marmoset), 101 nucleotides. The record is from Rfam. NCBI's taxonomy places the organism in Eukaryota, Metazoa, Chordata, Mammalia, Primates, Cebidae.